AAAUGAAUUCUACAUUUAGCUGAGAUUGAUCGCGACUGCAUUUAUGGAGAUCAGCUUCUGGGUAAAGGGCGGUGUCAAGUUGUCUGUGCAGAGAUCUUGUAGUUGACUUGAUCUGGUUUUCACCAACGUCGCCAAUUGAUAGUAGUGCAGCCUUUGCUGUCGCAUAAGGUUCUUCUACUUAGUAUGCCGGAAGAUGCACCAGCAAAUCCCCCAAAGAAGCGCGUGAUUCAGCUACCCUCACUUC
RNAcentral lists this long non-coding RNA (244 nucleotides) under Coccomyxa subellipsoidea. RNAcentral describes it as "long non-coding RNA (CSUB_LNC000218)". Lineage: Eukaryota; Viridiplantae; Chlorophyta; Trebouxiophyceae; Coccomyxaceae. The record is from RNAcentral.